RNAcentral lists this unclassified non-coding RNA (200 nucleotides) under uncultured Sebacinales. RNAcentral describes it as "sequence contains ITS2". The record is from RNAcentral. Lineage: Eukaryota; Fungi; Basidiomycota; Agaricomycetes; Sebacinales.
UAAUCUCACCUCUACAACUUUUGUUGUGGAAAGUGGACUUGGGCCUUGUCGUGUGACAACGACUGGCUUGAAAUGGAUGAGUGUACCCUGCUGCUGCAGCGUCUUCAGUGUGAUAAGCAUCUUCACUGAUCAAAGUUCCUUUGGGACACGAUUGCAUGGCAGGCUCUGUGCUUCCAACUGUCUGUUAGACAACCUUGACA